CGAAAGCCUGACGGAGCAAUACCGCGUGAGGGAGGAAGGCUCUUGGGUCGUAAACCUCUUUUGUCAGGGAAGAACACAAUGACGGUACCUGACGAAUCAGCAUCGGCUAACUCCGUGCCAGCAGCCGCGGUAAUACGGAGGAUGCAAGCGUUAUCCGGAAUUAUUGGGCGUAAAGCGUCCGCAGGUGGCUUGUCAAGUCUGCUGUCAAAGACUGGGGCUUAACUCCGGGCAGGCAGUGGAAACUGACAGGCUAGAGUGCAGGAGGGGUAGAGGGAAUUCCCGGUGUAGCGGUGAAAUGCGUAGAUAUCGGGAAGAACAUCGGUGGCGAAGGCGCUCUACUGGACUGCAACUGACACUCAGGGACGAAAGCUAGGGGAGCG
RNAcentral lists this ribosomal RNA (380 nucleotides) under uncultured cyanobacterium. RNAcentral's name for it is "bacterial SSU rRNA". It matches the Rfam family "Bacterial small subunit ribosomal RNA", at positions 376 to 770 of the family's 1533-position model. The record is from RNAcentral. Lineage: Bacteria; Bacillati; Cyanobacteriota.